This 1179-nucleotide long non-coding RNA is filed under the name Rattus norvegicus (Norway rat). RNAcentral describes it as "long non-coding RNA NONRATT031793". The record is from RNAcentral. Lineage: Eukaryota; Metazoa; Chordata; Mammalia; Rodentia; Muridae.
GGGGAGGGGGAGGACGAGGAGAAGAAAUACAACAAAGCAUUCUAAAUUGUAUCAGAAGGGUUUCCUAUAUUCAGUUACAGUAGUUACAAUUCAUGUUUUUUUUUUCCUCAUAGGGUAUGAGUAUCCGCAUGACAUUAGAAUGAUAAAUAUUCAAAGGAACUUCAGUUCACAGGACUUAAGAAAUUUUACAGCUUUCCUUCCCUACCUGGGGUAAUCAUGAAAUAUCUAAACGCUCAUGUACAUGGGAAAUUCAUCUUGAAACUCAGAAGCUCAGCAAGCAGCCAGCAGCAAAAAAUUGAGUCUGUCAUCUUCCUUCAGAUUCACAAAAACACAAAGGCAACGUAUAUACUAACCCAAGAGUAACAUCUAUUAAUCCACCACAAGAAAAACAAAGUUGCCUACUCCAAAACUUGAUAUGUUAUCCAUAAUUGCAGAGAAAGGACAAGAAUCAGAUCACAUAUUCGAAAUUUACGUAAAGAAUCACACUGGUCCCUGAGGUGUAGGCUUGACAGUGAACAACACAGUGGCUGGAAUGAAGAAUACAUGCUUAUAACAGCAUCUGUCUUAAAGACUUCUACUGAAGAUUCCUCAGGCAAACUUUAUCCUUCUAAAGCAUCUCAUUUGGUAUUAGUAAUAAUAAGAGACUCAUCCACGAGUAAUUUAGACACUAACAGGUUAUCUAUCCGGAUAGCUCCUUAUGUUUUGUGGGAUCAGACUACAAAGGAUGCAUGGUUUGGGAGUGAUGUAUCAAGAAAGAUGUCCAUUAUACAAAUCAUGAUCGACAACUAUCAUCAAAUAUUUGGAAAUUAUAAUAUAUUUUAUAAACAUAUUGACAGAAGAUCUGAGGAUUUAAAGACUUGUGCAGAUUCAAUAAACUCUUCUGGCAAAUCACCUAUUAUGAAAGAAUUCCUAGCUGGCCACAACAAGAAGACAUGCGAUAAUGCAUCAAGAGGACCUGAUGCCCCCAGAAGCCUGGAUUGCUGGAUAUGCAUGUUUCUGUGAUGUACACAUAUACUCACACAUUUAUAAAACUACUGGUAUAUGUUGUGCCCUUGGUUUUAUUCUCUGUGUAUUUGAACUUUAUAAUAAAAAUACUUUUCACUGUGUAUAUGUGUGUGAAUCUGUGUGGCCUGUGCACAUGAGUGCAGAGUCGGAUGGAGUCUAGAGGAGCAGUGAAGG